UUCUUACUGCUCCGCUUGUCUGUUAUUCAGUUCCAGUCUUCCUCCCUCUCCCUCUCCUCAGGCUUCCCUAUUCCCUGAGACAUAACAAUAUUGAAAUUAGGCCAAAUUAUAAUCCAAAAUGAUCUCUAAGUAUUCAAGUAAAAGGAAGAAUCGAUCAACACAGCAAACUUCAUUGUUGUCUUAUUUUUAGAAAUUGCCACAGCCAUGCCAACCUUCAGCCAUCAUAUCCUGAUCAGACCACAGGCAUCAACAUUGAGAAUCUUCUCUAAAGAUCUCUGACAUUGACCUAAUUUUUAGGGAUUGACCCUGGUCUGCAAAUGACCCUGGUAGUUUCUAGAAUUGUUCCAGGCUUUGGGAAAACUUGGAUUUAAGGUAAAUUCUCUCCCAUUUAAUUUUUUAAAUACCUUUAAAUCCCUCUAUGAAUUUUGAGGGAUGAUUGCCAUUAAUUCUAUAAAUUCAUUAAAUGAUUCCUCUGG
Molecule: long non-coding RNA, 476 nt
Filed under: Monodelphis domestica (gray short-tailed opossum)
Lineage: Eukaryota; Metazoa; Chordata; Mammalia; Didelphimorphia; Didelphidae
Description: lncRNA (ENSMODG00000050861.1)
Source: RNAcentral